GACGAACGCUGGCGGCGUGCUUAACACGUGCAAGUCGAACGGUGAAGGGGCCUGCUUUUGUGGGCCCUGGAUGAGUGGCGAACGGGUGAGUAACACGUGAGUAACCUGCCCCCUUCUUCUGGAUAACCGCAUGAAAGUGUGGCUAAUACGGGAUAUUCUGGGUCUGUCGCAUGAUGGGUCUGGGAAAGAUUGCGCCUUUGGGUGUUUUUGGUGGGGGAUGGGCUCGCGGCCUAUCAGCUUGUUGGUGGGGUGAUGGCCUACCAAGGCGGUGACGGGUAGCCGGCCUGAGAGGGUGGACGGUCACACUGGGACUGAGACACGGCCCAGACUCCUACGGGAGGCAGCAGUGGGGAAUAUUGCGCAAUGGGCGCAAGCCUGAUGCAGCGACGCCGCGUGAGGGAUGGAGGCCUUCGGGGUGUAAACCUCUUUCGCCAGUGAAGCAGGCCUGCUCCUUGUGGGUGGGUUGACGGUAGCUGGAGAAGAAGCGCCGGCUAACUACGUG
RNAcentral lists this ribosomal RNA (502 nucleotides) under uncultured bacterium. RNAcentral's name for it is "partial 16S ribosomal RNA". It matches the Rfam family "Bacterial small subunit ribosomal RNA", at positions 28 to 507 of the family's 1533-position model. The record is from RNAcentral.